GCACCAGCGACACAGGACAAAAACGAAAUAUCGCGAGCCUCUGCUUCAUGUGACGUCACAGGCUUUCCUGUAGCGGCGGGUGCGCCAGCCCUACCCAGAGACUGGAUGUGCAGCGGACGGCUUUUCUGCGCGUGCGUGGAAUUAAACUUCCAGCGAAAGGAACGUCGGGGAAGGCUGGUUGUCCAGGGAAGUUUUUACACAGUGCAAGACAGAGGAUGAACAUUAAGAAACAGCCAAUUAGCAUUAACCACUUGUGUUUUAGUAUUAUUAUACCUUUCACUAAAAUCUUGUCUGUAUUAAAAAAGAAACAACCAAACAGAUCUCUGUUUUUCUCCAAAUUUGACACAAAAUCUGUUAUGUAAUGCAUGGUUCUCCAGUUUCUGCCAAUUAGUAAAGGACCCUUUUUCUCUGUACAGUUAGUGGCAAUGGCAAACAUACGCUUUCAUACCUGAUAGUAUAAGGAUACCUGUAGGUACAUCAUCUCCCCUUGAUUAGAUUUUCAACACACCAUUAAUUUCUCCUACUGUUAUGUUAGCAAUUUUUGCGUGUGUUCUUCAGAUACUGCAGCUCCUGUAUCAGUUUCCAUUCUCAUGCUCACAUUAUUUCUGUUCUGUUUAAUCUAACAUGGAGUAUUUCAGUCUUGUUCUUCACAACAAAGAGUUCUGGGGAGUGGUUUAAGUAACAAGCAUCUUAUUAUGGACAGGCGCAGUUUAUAUAACAGAUCCUUCCCUAUUCACACAGCUGGGCAAAAAUGCUGUUGGGGGAAAAAUUACUCCUUUUGUUGUACUAUUUCCCCUCUGUGGCAAAACAAGCCCAACUUA
Long non-coding RNA from Chelonia mydas (Green sea turtle), 821 nucleotides. RefSeq lists it as uncharacterized. The record is from RefSeq and is a predicted model, not a curated record. The transcript is spliced from 2 exons. Lineage: Eukaryota; Metazoa; Chordata; Testudines; Cheloniidae.